RNAcentral lists this ribosomal RNA (497 nucleotides) under uncultured bacterium. RNAcentral's name for it is "partial 16S ribosomal RNA". It matches the Rfam family "Bacterial small subunit ribosomal RNA", at positions 28 to 507 of the family's 1533-position model. The record is from RNAcentral.
GAUGAACGCUGGCGGCGUGCCUAAUACAUGCAAGUCGAGCGAACAGACGAGGAGCUUGCUCCUCUGACGUUAGCGGCGGACGGGUGAGUAACACGUGGAUAACCUACCUAUAAGACUGGGAUAACUUCGGGAAACCGGAGCUAAUACCGGAUAAUAUAUUGAACCGCAUGGUUCAAUAGUGAAAGACGGUUUUGCUGUCACUUAUAGAUGGAUCCCGGCCGCAUGAGCUAGUUGGUAAGGUAACGGCUUACCAAGGCGACGAUGCGUAGCCGACCUGAGAGGGUGAUAGCCCACAUGGGAACUGAGACACGGUCCAGACUCCUACGGGAGGCAGCAGUAGGGAAUCUUCCGCAAUGGGCGAAAGCCUGACGGAGCAACGCCGCGUGAGUGAUGAAGGUCUUCGGAUCGUAAAACUCUGUUAUUAGGGAAGAACAAAUGUGUAAGUAACUAUGCACGUCGUGACGGUACCUAAUCAGAAAGCCACGGCUAACUACGUG